GGCUGAUUUCGUAAGUCCUGAUGUCUUGAGGGAAUGAGAAGAACAGAGGCCGAGCUAUUGGAGUCCCUUUAGUGUGUGCCUCAUACAUCAGUGUGUAGAAGUAAGGAAGUAAUUGGUAUCGGAGACCAAGCACCUUCUUAGCUGUUGCUGCAACAGAAUCCCAUAGAUAAAGCUCUUGACGCUUUUUGUCUUUUGCUGAAUGGUCUCUUGCAAAGGGGUAAAAUGCACCUAGCUGAAUCCAACGACGACAGAGCUCUUCAGUCGUGUCCCCAGAAAAGCCACAUAUGUCAGCACCAACCAUUGGAAUUCCAAACAAUCCAAAAUUCAG
This 328-nucleotide unclassified non-coding RNA is filed under the name Hevea brasiliensis (rubber tree). Lineage: Eukaryota; Viridiplantae; Streptophyta; Magnoliopsida; Malpighiales; Euphorbiaceae. The record is from RNAcentral.